UAAAAAAUGAGAUAAGGAUUCUGCUGGAGAUACAUAGCCCAGCGCCCAAAAUAAUUGAUUAUUAGAGCAACUUCAACAGAAGCCCUAACGCUGAAACAAAUUGAAAUAUAAGGCUUAAACAAGAAAGGUGAGCUCCAACAGGAGCCUCAUUUUAAUAAAAUUCAUCUAAAUGUUUUAAGCUAAAAGAGCGGCAGAUUUGGGGCUCACAAACGUGCGGCCGGCCCAAUACUGUUCGCGGUCAUUCCAACCUUCGUUGGACAUUUCACCGAGACAACUUCCUCGCCGCCACCGAUCCAGACCCACGCGCCCGCCCCCAAUCUCAUCUCUAGGUCACCUCAUUAAUUCGUUUCUCGGUGAGGAGCCGCUGAGGAAGACGAUCGUCCCCUCUCCAUCAUCCUGCCUCCCCGUGGUUCGUCUCCCAGCUCCUCUUGAUUUGCUAGGCGCUCUUGUCUUUUGUCUCACAUCUCCCCUCCUCUUGAUCUGCUAGGUGCUUGAUGGAUCAAAGGCCGUCGUCCCCACGGUCGCAGCCGUACGUCAGCGAGGGCUCAACGAUUUUCUGGAAGCAAUCGGAAGAAAAGCUAGGCGGGAAUGGCGUGCGGAGUGGGAGAGAAAUAGAGGGGGCUAUGUACACGAACGUGAUGUAGUUGCAAACGUAAGCUAUUUUAGGGCCCAUGCAUGAUUGGAAUCGACAAUUGAAUUUGGGCCCUAAACAAAUAGAACAGGUAGUAAAUUAAAUUAUAAGGCUUAACUAUAAGGCUCAUGGUUAGAUCAAGACGCUCUUAGGCAACAAAACUAUCUUUUUUACUGAUUAU
RNAcentral lists this long non-coding RNA (812 nucleotides) under Zea mays. Its description in RNAcentral is "long non-coding RNA (ZMAY_LNC000453)". The record is from RNAcentral. Lineage: Eukaryota; Viridiplantae; Streptophyta; Magnoliopsida; Poales; Poaceae.